This 253-nucleotide ribosomal RNA is filed under the name uncultured bacterium. Its description in RNAcentral is "partial 16S ribosomal RNA". It matches the Rfam family "Bacterial small subunit ribosomal RNA", at positions 524 to 776 of the family's 1533-position model. The record is from RNAcentral.
AACGGAGGGGGCGAGCGUUGCCCGGAUUUACUGGGCUUAAAGGGUCCGUAGGCGGUGUCCUAAGUCCCCCGUGAAAGCUGCCCGCUCAACGGGCAGAGGUCGGGGGAGACUGGGACACUUGAGGGCGGGAGAGGCCGGCGGAACGGCGGGUGUAGCGGUGAAAUGCGUCGAUAUCCGCCGGAACACCAGUGGCGAAGGCGGCCGGCUGGAACGCCCCUGACACUGAGGGACGAAGGCCGGGGGAGCGAACCGG